This 443-nucleotide long non-coding RNA is filed under the name Hordeum vulgare. RNAcentral's name for it is "long non-coding RNA (HVUL_LNC018262)". Lineage: Eukaryota; Viridiplantae; Streptophyta; Magnoliopsida; Poales; Poaceae. The record is from RNAcentral.
AAGGGAAGUUAUCCCUACAAAAUCAUAUAUUCUGGCUAUGCUCCAUCAUCCUCACACAACUAAUGUAAAUCAUGCACAACCCCGGUAUUGGCCAAGUAAUUGUUUUCGCACUCUUACUUUCUCAAACCUUUUAUAACUAUCACGCAAUACAUGAGUGUGAGCCAUGGAUAUAGCACUAUAGGUGUAAUAGAGUGUGGUGGUGGUUGUGAGACAAAAAGGAGGAGAUGGUCACAUUGACUCGGCGUAUCAAAGGGCUAUGGAGAUGCCCAUUAAUAGAUAUCAAUGUGAAUGAGUAGGGAUUGCCAUACAAGGGAUGCACUAGAUCAAUAAGUAUGUGAAAGCUCAAAAGGAGAACUAGUGGGUGUGCAUCCAACUUGCUUGCUCACGAAGACCUAGGGCAAUUUGAGGAAGCCCAUCGUUGGAAUAUACAAGCCAAGUUAUAU